CCUACGGGUGGCAGCAGUGAGGAAUAUUGGUCAAUGGUCGGGAGACUGAACCAGCCAAGCCGCGUGAGGGAUGAAGGUACAGAGUAUCGUAAACCUCUUUUGUCAGGGAACAAAGGCGGGGACGUGUCCCCGGCUGAGUGUACCUGAAGAAAAAGCAUCGGCUAACUCCGUGCCAGCAGCCGCGGUAAUACGGAGGAUGCGAGCGUUAUCCGGAUUUAUUGGGUUUAAAGGGUGCGCAGGCGGUCUGUUAAGUCAGCGGUCAAAGCCCGGGGCUCAACCCCGGCCCGCCGUUGAAACUGGCAGUCUCGAGUGGGAGAGAAGUAGGCGGAAUGCGUGGUGUAGCGGUGAAAUGCAUAGAUAUCACGCAGAACCCCGAUUGCGAAGGCAGCGUACCGGCCGGUCACUGACGCUGAGGCACGAAAGCGCGGGUAUCGAACAGGAUUAGAUACCCGUGUAGUC
RNAcentral lists this ribosomal RNA (459 nucleotides) under uncultured bacterium. RNAcentral's name for it is "partial 16S ribosomal RNA". It matches the Rfam family "Bacterial small subunit ribosomal RNA", at positions 338 to 795 of the family's 1533-position model. The record is from RNAcentral.